UACGGAGGGGGCUAGCGUUGUUCGGAAUUACUGGGCGUAAAGCGCGCGUAGGCGGCUUUGUAAGUUAGAGGUGAAAGCCCGGAGCUUAACUCCGGAAUUGCCUUUAAGACUGCAUCGCUAGAAUUGUGGAGAGGUAAGUGGAAUUCCGAGUGUAGAGGUGAAAUUCGUAGAUAUUCGGAAGAACACCGGUGGCGAAGGCGGGUCUCUGGGCCGUAACUGACGCUGAGGAGCGAAAGCAUGGGGAGCGAACAGG
This 253-nucleotide ribosomal RNA is filed under the name uncultured bacterium. RNAcentral describes it as "partial 16S ribosomal RNA". It matches the Rfam family "Bacterial small subunit ribosomal RNA", at positions 524 to 776 of the family's 1533-position model. The record is from RNAcentral.